GACGAACGCUGGCGGCGUGCUUAACACAUGCAAGUCGAACGGAAAGGCCUUGUUCUUGUGGCGUGCGCGAGUGGCGAACGGGUGAGUAACACGUGGGUAGCCUGACCUCGACUGUGGGAUAACUUCAGUAAACUGUGGCCAAUACCGGAUAAGAGCUCCUGCUGCAAGGUGGGGGCUGGCAAGUGUCGGCGGUUGGGGAUGGACACGCGGCUUCUAAGCCUGUUGGUGGUGUAGUGGCUGAGCAAGGCAUCGGCGGGUAGCCGGCCUGAGCGGGUGACCGGCAACAUUGGGGCUGCGGUGCGGCCCAGACUCCUACGGGGGGCAGCAGUGGGGGAUAAUGCACAAUGGGCGGAAGCCUGAUGCAGCAGCGCCGCGUGCGGGAUGACGGCCUUCGGGUUGUAAUCCGCUUCCGCCUGUGACGAAGCGUGAGUGACGGUAAUGGGUAAAGAAGCACCGGCUAACUACGUG
RNAcentral lists this ribosomal RNA (468 nucleotides) under uncultured bacterium. Its description in RNAcentral is "partial 16S ribosomal RNA". It matches the Rfam family "Bacterial small subunit ribosomal RNA", at positions 28 to 507 of the family's 1533-position model. The record is from RNAcentral.